GGUUGUAUCUCGCUGGGCAAGCUUUUGUAUACCGGAUGUUGUAUGUAUAGUGAACUUGGAUUUUAUUUUUUUCUUUCUGGUUAUAGUUUUCUUGCAGCUCUAUACUACUGGUUGUAGUAUUGUAUGUUUACAGGUACAGCUAUCGCUUCGUAUACAGGAAAAAUUUCUUUGUAUACGGCGGAUUUGUCGGCGUGCCCGGAGAUCGUGUAAUCCGGGGCGUGACAAGUAUCCUUUGGUUUCAAGUGUAUCAAGUUAGUACCCUGUGAUUUUAUUUUUGUAUCAAGUUAGUACCAUGUGAUUUUAAUUUUCUCUUUUUAUUAUCCAUUUUGGGGUAUAUAAUUUAACAAAAUAUUAAACCAUAUGGUACUAAAGUGAGAAAGUGCAAAAUAAAGCUGUCCAAAAUAUCCGAUAUACCAUACCCAAUCCAGACCCUAUCCGGAUCCUAUCCGGACCCAAACUUGACCCGAUAAAAAAGGACAAUAUAUGGGUUAAAAAAACUACCCAUU
This 506-nucleotide long non-coding RNA is filed under the name Ananas comosus (pineapple). Its description in RNAcentral is "long non-coding RNA (ACOM_LNC010794)". Lineage: Eukaryota; Viridiplantae; Streptophyta; Magnoliopsida; Poales; Bromeliaceae. The record is from RNAcentral.